AGAAAAUAGGGAGGGGUGGAGCUAGAGGGCCCUCAGGAGCUCGGGGGCCCAUGUUCUUUGAACCCUUCCACUCAAUUAUAGCUAUGCCCCUGUGCCUGGCCAAUUGUUGCCUGGCCUGCCACUGGUGGGCCAUUGUUUGUUCCAUUCUCCUCCUUGAUACUCCAGUCCCAGCUGCCUUAUUUCCUCAAUGUGCAGUAACAGGUUGCUCAGUAUCGGGGUACUAAUCUGUAGCCACUGAGAGCAACAGAUAAAAAGCAGGAAGAAAAAGUUCACAAGGCAGAGGCUCACUAAACUGAUCAGAAGGUUUCAGCAGGCCUGUAUGGCCCAUGGGCUAACCUGUUGGGAACCAGGGAGUGACUUAGUGUAUGAGACAGCAGAGCUUACAAUUUGCCUUUCUUUCUCCUUACAGCACUUCAACCCCUUUAAACACAUAACUGGCAGAAAUUCAUCAGAUAAAGCUUUCCCAAUCACUUGCAUUUGUGUGAAAAGCUCUGCUUGUGGAAUUUCUGCCUGUCAUCCAGCUGUUAAAAGCACAGAGCUUGGUUAGAGAAAGCAGGUGGCAGUUCAACUCAUGGGAAGAUGAGUCUGAAGUAAUAAUUGGGGUGGGUGGGAAUUAAUUACACUCAGUACUGGAUGGGAUCCAAAGUGACAAGGUGAUCAGUGGCUUAGGUUGCCUAGCUGCUGGUAGGACCUGGAAUACACCUUUCACCGGGAAAAGGAAUGGGGGAUAAUGUUAACUGAAGGCCCAUUGCCUUAUGCCCCACUAAGCCCUGAAACCACACCAUAAAAUAUCCAGUUGGGGUUAGGUUUUAUAAGAUAUUUGAAGAACUGGGAUAGGCUAAGCUGAGGUGGUAGUUUCGUAAGGCUAUAAAGAAGUGUGCUGUUCCCACGGUAACAAGAAUUCCCCUCAUUUAUGUGAUCUGGUAGCUAAGAUAUCUGUAAGUAAUAUCUGUAAUAUCCCCAAGCCCUCACCCCCUCCCUUUUCAUUUUAAGUUCCUGGAUCCUACAAGGCUGGCUAGCUUACUCCUUGUUUGCGCAGGAGUGAGAACUUUGCUUUCUGAAGACUAAGGGCCAGCCCGGAGGGCAGGGCACUGCUUAUGUUGUUGAUACAGGCUUUGGAUGACAUAGGGAAAUGACUCUCAUUUCCAUUUCAGUGAGAGUUCAAACAAACAAACAAUGCAAUACCCUCCUAUCACAUUAGUCUAGGAUCAGGCCCUGACAGGAUAACCCAUCUCCUUUGGAGGGUGGAAGGCGAGAAAGAAAGACAAGCACAAAACUGCUGCCCACGGACUCCUUUGCUCCCAACACCUGAGAUCCUGUUCAGAGAAGAGAGAACCUAUGGGCAAGUGAAGGGGCUGCAGGAUCAGACAGCUUGCUUCUGUGAGGACUAGAAAUGGACACCACUGAUAAAACUACAGGCAACCAGGUCACAAUUGGACAAAUGACCAAGGAAACACAGUAUGAGAACAAAAAAAAUAGCAGGGACUAGCUUGGCUAGCUUGGAGAAAAGGACCCGUGAUCUUGAAAUCUCAUCACUCCCUAUGUUAAUGAAAUGUUGAUCCCAGUUUUCAAUCCUGAGGGUUCCUCAGAUGAGGAUGCUCUCUCUGGGCUAAGACCUGAAGAAAAGGAAUGUCUGGAGUUCUUGCUGCAAACAAUUGAAAACUUGGAUGGGGAUCUCUUAGAAGCUGAUGAAGAAGGGAGUCCAGAGAAAACAGCAGGAUCUUUAGGUGCAGAAGACCAAUGCAACAUCAGUGUUGGCUCCAGCACACAGCAAAGUGGAUUUGCAGAGGCAGCCACAGCCAAGCCUGGUCCCGGUCCAAUGGUUUCUAAGGUUAAAAUGACCCUUUCAGAAGAAUCUGGUUCCCAGUGCAGGCCUGACUCUUUCUGCCCGAAAGCAAAAGGGCCUGCUAGAUUAGGAGACUCUCACCCUGCUCACUUCAGGAAGUUUGACACAAUAAUGAGGUCUGGGGUCAAUGUUCAGGAACUUCGCUCUCGCUUUCUCCUCCACCUUGAGAGUCCUGCUGCUGUCAAGGGCCCAAUGGAGGCUGCUGCUGCUGCCUUUAGGGAACCCACGCUGCUGCCUGCAGGCCAAAAGUCCCCUAGGGAUGAAGCGCUGCAAAAACUGGGACUGCUCCAGAGAAACGCAAGUUUUCCAAAUACAAGUCGUCAUCUGAUGCCCAUGGCAACUCAGCAGGGCUGGAAUUUACCUGUUGAAGGGCUAGAAUGUGAGGCAGUUCCAAGCUCCAUCAGUAACCCUGGAGAGUUUGUCCAUGCACACACAACCGUCACUGUUCAGAAACAGGGGCUUCCUCAAUAGGAACUGAUCACCAGGAAGUGCUAAGAAAACCCGGACUUUUCUGGUAUUGAACAAAAACUCCUAAUUUCUUCCUUCGCACACUAAACUGCUUUCUGUGAGAAAAUCCAUUAUUGCACACAGAGCCAAACCAGUCAGCUGCAGCAUACAAUGUAUGGCAGCAUAUUUGGUAUUGUUACAUGCCCAUUCCUCACUUCCCCAAGUGGGGAGAAGUUCCAGGGGUGCAGUGCUAUUCAAGUUCUGGCUUGGAGAAUUGAUCACUGGGGGCUUAUGGUGACUUUGUAAUAUUUGGUUUGUUUACAAAUAUAGAAGCAUGAGAUGGAGCUGAAAUAGCACAGCACUCUUCUAUAAGUCAGUAACAGGUUAGAUCAGUUUCCUGGGAGUAACCCUACACCAUAAGGCAGGGGUUUUCAAUUGGGGUACUUGAACCCCUGGGGGUAUUCUGAAACCUUGUAGGGGGUACACGGAACCCCACCCCACCCCUCUCUGACUCACUUGCAUGCUACAUCAUUGGCUCCCUCCAUGGGGGGAGGGGAGGAGUGUCAGGCAGUAUCCCUCCUUCCACAUGACUGGCAAUGUGCUCAGGCUCAGCUCACCCCAACCGCAGCGUGGCUGACAGGCUCAGUAAUGAGGAAAAUGCUGGCGUAUGCUCAGUAUCAGCAUUGCCCUUGCUGUGGAGCCUGUCAGUCAGGCUGAGUGAUGGAUGGGCUGAGCCUGUGUGCCUAGCUAGCCAAUCACAUAGAGAGGAGGAGGAAGAGGCAUGGCCAGGUCAAAGGUAUGUUGUGGAGACCUGGCCAUGAGGUGCUGGAGAAUGGGAGGAGGAAGCCACGCCAUGGAGUGAAGGGUAUGGUGGUUUUUGUUUGUUUUGCCUGAUCCCACAGUAGAUUCACUUAGCUUGUAUUUUAUUUCCCACCAACCUUGACAAGAUUUACUUCUUGCCAAAGGUCACAAUUCUUGGCUGCCUAUAUGGGGUAUCUGAGCUGAACCUUUCAGACAGAAGGGGAACACUUGGGUUUUUGUUUUGGUUUUUUUUAAAGGUUGGAAACCCCUGCCCUAAGGUGUUUUAUCAACCUGUUCAGCUCCUCCACUCCAGGCUCUUCCAAAACUCACUCACUCCCUUUCCCUCCCUCCCUCCCUUUCAGCUUGAAAACUGCUAGUUCUCUGCACUGAGCACUUAAGACUCCCCUGAAUCUCACACCAGCCCCUCCCAUCUGGUGAAAGAUACAUGUGCCUUGUGAGACUUUUAAUGGCUUUGCCCUUCUGGAUACUGCAUAGCCAUCAAUGCCACAUUCCGGAAUAUCCAGGGUCCCCCAGAAUUAUUAGCUAGUUCUUCGCUUAACAAAUAGCAUUCCUGGCUGGAGACUCACUGCAGUAUUUAUACAUGGUGAUUUCUGCUAGGAGCAGCUCCCUGGUAGUUGGUUAAGAUUAAUUCUGACAGGUAUUUGAUUUCAUUGCUAGACAUCAUAAUGUUGCUUCUUGAAUUCCUAGCACUCACUCUGCUCUCUUUAAUCUCUUGAGCACAUACACUAUCAGCUCCCUUACUUCAAGAAUUAUUUGCUAGCAUUCCAAUUCAGUGAAAAGAAUACUGGUGUGUUCUGUUCUUCAUUGCAGGGUAUAGAGGCAAAAUAAUUGCACCCAAAGAAAUUGUCUUCUGAUAUGCUCUUAUAUGGGUUAGGGUUUGGCUCAAGGGAGACUCUAAUACUAAUUGGAAUAUAUGGGUUCCCUGCAAGGCGGAGAACAAAAGGAAAGGAAAGCUUUGUUGGUUCCCCUAGUUCUAUGUAUGUGAAUAUAUAAAUUUGUUAAAAACCUGAGCUCUUCUUUUGGACCUAGUGUGGUCUAACCCAAUUAAAUCUGAACAACACUUCACCAUUCCAUCUUAAGGCUUUAAACAGCAGAUUCUCUGGAGCUUUUUAUCAGCCCAGCAGCAUGUUUAUCUUUCCCUAUCUUUUGUGUGUGUGUUUGGGGUUUUUUUGCUUAGUGUCCGGUCUGAAGAGGAGUUCUGAAGAAAUCUUGCUCACGAUUUCAGAUGUUUAAAUUGGUCCCAAUAAAGCUAUUAUGCUACUA
This is an RNA transcript of Hemicordylus capensis (graceful crag lizard), 4378 nucleotides long. RefSeq lists it as uncharacterized. Lineage: Eukaryota; Metazoa; Chordata; Lepidosauria; Squamata; Cordylidae. The record is from RefSeq and is a predicted model, not a curated record. The transcript is spliced from 5 exons.